RNAcentral lists this ribosomal RNA (404 nucleotides) under Actinomycetes bacterium. RNAcentral describes it as "Actinobacteria bacterium partial 16S ribosomal RNA". It matches the Rfam family "Bacterial small subunit ribosomal RNA", at positions 355 to 776 of the family's 1533-position model. Lineage: Bacteria; Bacillati; Actinomycetota; Actinomycetes. The record is from RNAcentral.
UGGGGAAUAUUGGACAAUGGGCGCAAGCCUGAUCCAGCCAUGCCGCGUGAGUGAUGAAGGCCCUAGGGUUGUAAAGCUCUUUCACCGGUGAAGAUAAUGACGGUAACCGGAGAAGAAGCCCCGGCUAACUUCGUGCCAGCAGCCGCGGUAAUACGAAGGGGGCUAGCGUUGUUCGGAUUUACUGGGCGUAAAGCGCACGUAGGCGGACUUUUAAGUCAGGGGUGAAAUCCCGGGGCUCAACCCCGGAACUGCCUUUGAUACUGGAAGUCUUGAGUAUGGUAGAGGUGAGAGGAAUUCCGAGUGUAGAGGUGAAAUUCGUAGAUAUUCGGAGGAACACCAGUGGCAAAGGCGGCUCACUGGACCAUUACUGACGCUGAGGUGCGAAAGCGUGGGGAGCAAACAGG